GACGGUACCUACAGAAGAAGUCCCGGCAAACUCCGUGCCAGCAGCCGCGGUAAUACGGAGGGGGCAAGCGUUGUUCGGAAUUAUUGGGCGUAAAGGGCAUGUAGGCGGUUUGGUAAGUUAAAGGUGAAAUACCAGGGCUCAACCCUGGGGCUGCUUUUAAUACUGCAGGACUAGAGUCCGGAAGAGGAUAGCGGAAUUCCUAGUGUAGAGGUGAAAUUCGUAG
RNAcentral lists this ribosomal RNA (223 nucleotides) under uncultured Anaplasma sp. RNAcentral's name for it is "partial 16S ribosomal RNA". It matches the Rfam family "Bacterial small subunit ribosomal RNA", at positions 471 to 693 of the family's 1533-position model. The record is from RNAcentral. Lineage: Bacteria; Pseudomonadati; Pseudomonadota; Alphaproteobacteria; Rickettsiales; Anaplasmataceae.